GGGCGAUUAGCUCAGAUGGAUAGAGCGUUGGUCUCCGGAACCAAAGGUCGUGGGUUCGAACCCCGCAUCGCCUACCA
This 77-nucleotide transfer RNA is filed under the name Deltaproteobacteria bacterium. Its description in RNAcentral is "tRNA-Arg". It matches the Rfam family "tRNA". From Rfam's summary of the family: Transfer RNA (tRNA) molecules are approximately 80 nucleotides in length. Their secondary structure includes four short double-helical elements and three loops (D, anti-codon, and T loops). The record is from RNAcentral. Lineage: Bacteria; Pseudomonadati; Myxococcota; Myxococcia.